Molecule: ribosomal RNA, 492 nt
Filed under: uncultured bacterium
Lineage: Bacteria
Description: partial 16S ribosomal RNA
Rfam family: Bacterial small subunit ribosomal RNA
Source: RNAcentral
AGUGAACGCUGGCGGUAGGCCUAACACAUGCAAGUCGAACGGCAGCACAGUAAGAGCUUGCUCUUACGGGUGGCGAGUGGCGGACGGGUGAGGAAUGCAUCGGAAUCUACUUUUUCGUGGGGGCUAACGUAGGGAAACUUACGCUAAUACCGCAUACGACCUACGGGUGAAAGCAGGGGAUCUUCGGACCUUGCGCGAUUGAAUGAGCCGAUGUCGGAUUAGCUAGUUGGCGGGGUAAAGGCCCACCAAGGCGACGAUCCGUAGCUGGUCUGAGAGGAUGAUCAGCCACACUGGAACUGAGACACGGUCCAGACUCCUACGGGAGGCAGCAGUGGGGAAUAUUGGACAAUGGGCGCAAGCCUGAUCCAGCCAUACCGCGUGGGUGAAGAAGGCCUUCGGGUUGUAAAGCCCUUUUGUUGGGAAAGAAAAGCAGCAGGUUAAUACCCCGCUGUUCUGACGGUACCCAAAGAAUAAGCACCGGCUAACUUCGUG